Molecule: unclassified non-coding RNA, 341 nt
Filed under: soil metagenome
Description: partial contains 5.8S ribosomal RNA, internal transcribed spacer 2, and large subunit ribosomal RNA
Rfam family: 5.8S ribosomal RNA (bases 1-120)
Source: RNAcentral
GAUGAAGAACGUAGCGAAAUGCGAUAAGUAAUGUGAAUUGCAGAAUUCAGUGAAUCAUCGAAUCUUUGAACGCACAUUGCGCCCCCUGGUAUUCCGGGGGGCACGCCUGUCCGAGCGUCAUUUCAACCCUCAAGCCCCCGGCUUGACGUUGGGCGCGGCCCCUCCCUCGGGGGGGGCCCGCCUGAAACCCCUCGGCGUCGCCGUCCGUCCCAGAGCGCAGCGAGUUUUCUGCCCGCGCUACUGGACCGGGCCGCUGGCCGCCGGUGAAUCCAUUUUCUCAAGGUUGACCUCGGAUCAGGUGGGGAUACCCGCUGAACUUAAGCAUAUCAAUAAGCGGAGGA